UACGGAGGGUCCAAGCGUUAUCCGGAAUCAUUGGGUUUAAAGGGUCCGUAGGCGGUUUAGUAAGUCAGUGGUGAAAGCCCAUCGCUCAACGGUGGAACGGCCAUUGAUACUGCUAGACUUGAAUUAUUAGGAAGUAACUAGAAUAUGUAGUGUAGCGGUGAAAUGCUUAGAGAUUACAUGGAAUACCAAUUGCGAAGGCAGGUUACUACUAAUGGAUUGACGCUGAUGGACGAAAGCGUGGGUAGCGAACAGG
RNAcentral lists this ribosomal RNA (253 nucleotides) under uncultured bacterium. RNAcentral's name for it is "partial 16S ribosomal RNA". It matches the Rfam family "Bacterial small subunit ribosomal RNA", at positions 524 to 776 of the family's 1533-position model. The record is from RNAcentral.